ACAGCUCUCUGGGGAAAACACAUCCAAUCAAGCGGCUGCCUUCUGAUUUAAUCUAAUUCAUUUAGGGAAUAUCGAUCCGUGUCGAUCAGUGAGGAUACUUUUCUUUUUUUUUAGGAAACUUUCUGCAUCAUCACCCUCCUCCUCCUCCUCCUCCUCCCACACGAGGACGCGCUUGACUUUUUUCUUCUUCUUUCUCUCCACCGGAUAACACGUUACCGACGCGGCUGACAUCUCCUCGGGCUCCUCCAGUAAGCGGUGACAAGUCGUCUCGGGGCUCGGAUGCGCGGCCAGGCACGCGGUUGUCCCUCCGAGAGAGAGAGGAGAGCGCAUGCACGAGGAAUACAAACGACACGCGCAGAAUGAGUCCAGUCGCCCGCCGUGGAGCCUCAACCCUGAAGGUUUAGUGUCGUCUCACCGGCUGCUGUCCGGAUUCCGGCUUCGGAGAACUCCCGUGAAGAGUUCGUGAGCCCUGCGACCAGAACUAUGACCGUCAAGCUGGACUUUGAGGAGUGUUUGAAGGACUCUCCGCGCUUCAGAGCUGAAAUCGAACAGGUCCAAACCGAUUUGAGUGAACUCGAGACGCGACUAGAAAAGCUUGUGAAACAAUGCCAGGCCAUGCUGGAGGCCGGCAGAGUGUACUGCCAGACCAGCAAGAGCUUUGUGAAUGGCCUCCGGGAUCUGGGACACCACUGCUCCGGAGACAAGACGAUGGAGGAGUGUCUGGACAAAUUCUCUAUAACGCUGUCGAUCAUCUUGGAGGCUCAGGGGGAAGUGAUUGAGACCACACAGAAGUCGGUCAAGACGAAGCUGCAGAACUUUGUCAAAGAGGAUGUGCGUCGUUUCAAGGACGUGCGCAAGGAGUUUGAGCGCGGCAGCGAAAGCCUGGAGGGGGCGCUGGUGAGGAACGCUCAGGCCCCGCGGGGGAAGCAGCACGAAGUGGAGGAGGCGAGCAACGCUCUGCUCAACGCUCGCAGGACCUUUCGGGCCGAGGCCCUCGAUUACGUCCUGGAGAUUAACGUCAUCGAGGCCAAGAAGAAGACCGACAUCCUGAUGGCGAUGUUGUCGCUGAUGGAGGCCCAGGCUCAGCUCUUCCAACAUGGCCACCAGUCUCUCUCCGAACUGGAUGAGUACCGACGAAAGUUGAAUGAAGAGCAAACUCAGUUUAUCCUAAAUUCUGCCCGUGAGAAGAGGGACAUGGAGCAGAGACAUGCUGCGAUCAAGAAGAAGGACGUGUCCUAUGACGACUCGAUCAUGGAUUUCAACGCUGACUCAGCCAAUGGGAUCGCCAUGGAGGGAUACCUCUACAAGAGAGCCAGCAACGCCUUCAAGACCUGGAGCAGGCGUUGGUUUUCGAUUCAGAAAAGUCAGCUGGUGUAUCAGAAGAGAUUCAAGGACCAGCCGACGGCCGUGGUGGAGGACCUGCGUCUCUGCACCGUGAAGCCCAGCGCCGACAACGAGAGACGCUUCUGCUUUGAAGUGGUCUCCCCGUCAAAGUGUUGUUUGUUGCAGGCCGACUCUGAGAGGCAGCAGCAGGCGUGGAUCAGUGCCGUCCAAAACAGCAUCGCCUCAGCCUUUCAGGAGCACAGAGAGGACCCACACAGCCUAAGACAGCGCUGCAGCUCGGUAUCUCUGAACAGUCUGGGGGGAGGGGGGGGAGGAGGGGAUCAGGAUAGCACGAGCUGCAAGGCCCUGGAGGAGGUCCAAGCGAUCCCAGGGAACAAGCACUGCUGCGACUGCGGGGAGCUCGGUCCUGACUGGGCCUCGAUCAACCUGGGCAUCACACUUUGUAUCGUCUGCUCGGGAAUACACAGGAGCCUGGGAGUCCAUUUCUCCAAAGUGCGCUCCCUCACUCUCGACUCCUGGGAGCCGGAGCUCAUCAAGUUGAUGUGUGAAUUGGGAAACACGGUCAUCAACCGGAUCUACGAGGCUCGGAUCGAUGAGAUCACCAUCAAGAAGCCCCACCCCUCCAGCCCCAGAGGAAACAAGGAGUCGUGGAUCAGAUCAAAGUACGUUGAGAAGAAGUUCAUCCACAAGCUGCUCGAGACCGGCAGGAACCCGGUGGUGAGGCGAUCCAGCGACAGGAGGAACCGAACCGACGCGCAGGACCGGACCGGGCAGCGGCCGGCGCUCAAACCCAAACCCAACAGAGCCACUCUGGCCCGGGGAACAGGACUGAGCCCCAGUGACCUUGUCCAAAAGAACAAUGCACACAAAGACGUGGACGAAGAGGAAGAGGAUCUGAGCGGGCUGCACCCCGGUGCGUUGUUGUACCGCUCGGCGGCCCUGCAGAACUUCCCCGUCAUGACCGACGCUCUGGCCCACGGCGCCAGCGUCAACUGGGUCAACGCGGCCGAGGAGUCCAGCACGCCGCUGAUACAGGCGGUGUCAUCGAAUGCGCUGGCAGCCUGCGAGUUCCUGCUGCAGAACAGCGCCAAUAUCAACCAGACCGACAGCAAUGGGAGAGGACCGCUUCACCACGCCACCAUCCUGGGUCACACCGGGCUGGUGUGUCUCUUCUUGAAGCGAGGGGCCGACUACAACGCCAAAGACAAGACCCACAAAGACCCCAUCACUAUCGCCGUGGACACCGCCAACGCUGACAUCGUCACUUUGCUGCGGAUCGCCAAAAUGAACAAGGAGAUGCGGGAGAUGGAUGGAGCGUUUGGCCAAUCAGGUCAAUCGGGGGGGCAGGGGUCAGAGGGUGUCGUAACCGGAGGAGGGCGGGCCCACACCAGGAAGAGCCUCCUGGCUCUCAAGAACCACAUAAGCGGCUGGGCUCUGGGGGGGCAAAACGAUUAGUGGGGGGUAGAAAAGAGCCCCGGGCAGCGAGACUGGAAUGAGACGGGGUUUUUUUGGUGUUUUUUGUCAAGUGGUGCGGCGUCAGGAUCCACUGGCUCUGCAGCGUCACGCCGUGGUCACCUGCAGCGCCUGUAGAUAAAUGACCCCGGCCUCCUGGAGCCGUGUCACUCUAGGAAACGUGCAUCAUCACACAGAAACCCCAAAAAGGAGAAUUGCCUUCACUGAGAGAUGAUAACCAGAACACGGCGUGCGGCCGUCUGGAGGCGGAGUCUCGAGGUCACGAGCGAGAACCGAUUGAUUGCAUCAGUGAAGACGGGAGAACGUCGUGUGGAGCUAAAGUUCACGUUGCACUUUGAAUCACUAACGCACAUCAUGCUGCACUUUGAAACACACACACACACACACACUCUGAACACCGCGUCAACACACCGCUGCACCUCCAACAUUGUACCUGAGGUUUAUGUAUAUUACAGACUUGCAUCAGGCCUAUUUUUUUAUAUUUGGAGUAUUUUGUAUACACGGUAUGUCCAGUGUUUUCUGGCUUCAGAGGUUUUAUUGUGUUCGCGCGUGUGUGUACUGGCCGGGUUGUUUUUCCAGUCCGGUUAUGGAAGCUAAAUGUCUGGUUUUAUCUCGCUAUUCCGUGAAUAGUUUGAACUCUUGUUUAUGUUUUAGUCGUUUGAAUUCAUCAGAAGCUCAGAGCGUCGAGCUGCAGCUCUCCAGCUUCAGGCCGACGGCGGGUUUUGUUUGCGUUUCGUCAUUUGGCUCCUUGUCCAGCUACAAAGUCCAUUCUUUCAUGAUUGUCCCUAAAGUGGCCAUCAGGGCUCAUUUUGUCUCUUUUUAAAAAAAAGUUCUUACGUCAGCUGUUUUCAAUCACGUUUUCACUCAUGAAGGAAUGGAAACGUGACGCUUGUUGUCUGCUUGAAACAAACUGCUGGUCAGUAUUUGACGUGCUUAUCACGUGUGUGUGUCUUUUGUUGUGUGCACUCAUGUUGCCUUCUGCCCGCUGAGAUGUCCAGCUGGUCUCAACUGCUUGUGCAGUGUGCCACCUGCUGCAGACUAAGAGGUGAUGAAACCUACCACGACAUCUUCAGAGACUUUUCACACAUGGCUUCAAACAACCCGGAGAAGCUCAAGCGCCGCAGCGCCGACCCCA
Pseudoliparis swirei is the source of this 3952-nucleotide RNA transcript. It is a transcript of the gene named ArfGAP with coiled-coil, ankyrin repeat and PH domains 1, with no coding region annotated. NCBI's taxonomy places the organism in Eukaryota, Metazoa, Chordata, Actinopteri, Perciformes, Liparidae. The transcript is spliced from 23 exons. The record is from RefSeq and is a predicted model, not a curated record.